GCAUAACGCGAAGAACCUUACCUAGGCUUGAACUCCUACGAACCUGUUGUAAUGGACGGGGUGCCCGCAAGGGAAUGUAGUGAGAGGUGCUGCAUGGCUGUCGUCAGCUCGUGUUGUGAAAUGUUGGGUUAAGUCUCGUAACGAGCGCAACCCCUAUCGUCUGUUGCCAGCAUUUAGUUGGGCACUCUGACGAGACUGCCUGGGUUAACCAGGAGGAAGGUGGGGAUGACGUCAAGUCCUCAUGGCCCUUAUGUCUAGGGCUACACACGUAAUACAAUGGCGCGUACAAAGGGAAGCGAACUCGCGAGGGGGAGCAAAUCUCAAAAAGCGCGCCUCAGUUCGGAUUGGAGUCUGCAACUCGACUCCAUGAAGUUGGAAUCGCUAGUAAUCGGAGAUCAGCACGCUCCGGUGAAUACGUUCCCGGGUCUUGUACACACCG
Molecule: ribosomal RNA, 439 nt
Filed under: uncultured bacterium
Lineage: Bacteria
Description: bacterial SSU rRNA
Rfam family: Bacterial small subunit ribosomal RNA
Source: RNAcentral